AUGAUCAGAUGGAAAAUAUUCUAGAGAAUGAAAAUAUUCUGUCUAGGGAAUGAUGCCUCAAAAGAAUUAAAGAAAGAACUGUGGUUGCAAUCUUCAACAAUCCUGCGUAACAAUAUUGCGAUACGAAUUACUUGUAAUCUAAAAUUGAGCGAAGAUGGUGGACGAGAGUAGCAACGCAGAAGCUGCUCACCUCUGGAAGGCGUUGAGCGAAGAUGAAAUCAAAGUAAAUUGCAGUUGGUUCCGUGUCCUCCACUUCCAAAUCAGUCGCUCUUCUCAGAUCCUGAUUGAAGUGAUUGACGAAUUUGGUAGAUUGGUCCACCCAUCAAAGUGUGAAGUUCCCUUGAUGGAUUUAGUCGUAAUAAUUUAAAAAAAAAAUUGUUAUUGUUGUCCAUGUUGUUGGCUGAGACACUGAAGAUGACAUCUUGUGGCCAGGUUUGUCUUCAGUUGUAGGGCGUAGGCUAGCCCUUUAGCCCCUACCUUCUUGGUUCAUUCACUUCAUUGUUAGGUUGAAUCAUGAGGUUCUGAGAGAAAGAGUCGCCAUUUUUAGACCUUUUUAUUUUUGGGGGUUUUGAUGUUAGCUUGAUUGCCACUUGUGAGGCAUUUCUUAGAAUGUGAUGGGUUUAAAGUUGGUUCGGGUUGGCGGUUCGUGAGCUUGCUAUUAUUCUUGAUGAAUUUUGAUGCUGAAUGACUUGGAAACCAUGCUGUCCACCACGCCGAGAAGCUGAGAAACAUUCUGCUUGUACAAUGGCACCUCUUAAUAAAAGGAACUUGAGCCAUCCAAUCUAGGGCUUCCAUCCAAUCGUGCAGGCUGCAUGGAAGUCACAUUUACCUUUGCUGUGAACAUCAUGAACACAUACACUAUUUGAAGGUUCAUGUUUAUGUAACAGUGGUGUUGUUGCAGCCUUUGGUGGUGAAAGAUAUCUGCAUCAAGUUGCUGUUCCUGUGGUGUGUUGUUGCAGCCUAUGGUGGUUAAAGAUAUCUGCAUCGAGUUGCUGUUCCUUGUGCAUCCAAGGUGCUGGUUUUGUGCUACAGAAGUUGCAUUCAGUAUUGAGUUUAAUUGGCUUCGUGUCUAUGUAGUUUACCUUUUACAUGUUGAUAAGAAACAAAAAAAGUAAUACUGGGAGGAUUAUGUCAAACAAAUAAUAAACAUGUCAGGGAUGGGGAAAUGAGGAGGAAGUUGGGGUGGGGUAUUUGGUUAUGAUUUACUAAAAGAAGUGAGGUAUAUUUGUAAUGAAUAUGCAGUACUUUGUGAUAAAAACUGUUGUUAACCUAUACCUUCCUGUCAACCUAUACCUCCCCUACUUCCACUUACACAUCUAUUCCUAAAACCCCAUAAGCACCAACAUCAAAUCCCACAUAUCCAAUCACAUCCAUUCCUAAAACCCCACAAUCACCAAACACCCAACAUUCACACAAUUUUUGUAUAUGUAUAAUUAAAUUUUAAUAAAUAAAAUGCAUUGUAUAUAA
Molecule: long non-coding RNA, 1467 nt
Organism: Daphnia pulex (common water flea)
Lineage: Eukaryota; Metazoa; Arthropoda; Branchiopoda; Diplostraca; Daphniidae
Exons: 5
Source: RefSeq, a predicted model, not a curated record